Molecule: long non-coding RNA, 613 nt
Organism: Rhincodon typus (whale shark)
Lineage: Eukaryota; Metazoa; Chordata; Chondrichthyes; Orectolobiformes; Rhincodontidae
Exons: 3
Source: RefSeq, a predicted model, not a curated record
CCCGGAAGUGCUUCCACACAUUCAACCUGGAAUUGAACAGCAGUCUGUUGUAGUUGAUAGACCUUAUUCACAACCUCCAUCUUAAUUUGACGCGUGGCUCGGCAACUUCCACUUUGUGCUUAUCAGGAGUUCAACAUCGGCCAAUCCAAAAAUAUCCAUGUACACGAAAGUAUAAAAUUGCUAAUUCCCAUUUCAGAUAAACCCCUUGGACUGUAACCUAGUGUCGUAUGAUUUCUGACUUCUCUGACGACAUGCCCUAAUAUCAUAGUAUGGAAUUAUAGAAAAUCCGGCAGUCCCUGGAGACUGAGGAUGACUGUCUUCCACUCUGAAGCUGGGGAUCCUGAGGUGACUAAACAGUCCACUGCUAGGUCCAUACAGCCUGCCACGUAUAGGCAGGUGGUAUUUGAGGAUAAGGUGUUUGUUGUCCUUGGAUGGAGAUCAGAAGCAAGAGAUCUGUCUGAAAUCUUCGCUCUCUCCAUGAGCUCUCUGCUGUCUUUAAAGAAUCUCAAGAGAAGUGGAUUUAAACAACCCAGUUGCUUGUAGGCAUAAAUUCAUAACAUAAGACUUCACGUAAGUUAGCAGUAAUUAUCAAUGGUUGCAUGUUGAGAAUAAU